AUUGAACGCUGGCGGCAGGCCUAACACAUGCAAGUCGAGCGGAUGAAGGGAGCUUGCUCCUGGAUUCAGCGGCGGACGGGUGAGUAAUGCCUAGGAAUCUGCCUGGUUGUGGGGGAUAACGUCCGGAAACGGGCGCUAAUACCGCAUACGUCCUGAGGGAGAAAGUGGGGGAUCUUCGGACCUUACGCUAUCAGAUGAGCCUAGGUCGGAUUAGCUAGUUGGUGGGGUAAAGGCCUACCAAGGCGACGAUCCGUAACUGGUCUGAGAGGAUGAUCAGUCACACUGGAACUGAGACACGGUCCAGACUCCUACGGGAGGCAGCAGUGGGGAAUAUUGGACAAUGGGCGAAAGCCUGAUCCAGCCAUGCCGAGUGUGUGAAGAAGGUCUUCGGAUUGUAAAGCACUUUAAGUUGGGAGGAAGGGCAGUAAGUUAAUACCUUGCUGUUUUGACGUUACCAACAGAAUAAGCACCGGCUAACUUCGUG
RNAcentral lists this ribosomal RNA (484 nucleotides) under uncultured bacterium. RNAcentral describes it as "partial 16S ribosomal RNA". It matches the Rfam family "Bacterial small subunit ribosomal RNA", at positions 30 to 507 of the family's 1533-position model. The record is from RNAcentral.